UAUUCAUGGAGCAAACCCUAUUACUGUAUUUGUGCGUAUUCGUUUCGCAUGAAAUCUCGUUGUAGACAGUGUGCAUUGAUUAUUCUUCGUUUUUUAUAUGAAUAUCAAGUAUUAUAUGGUCGGAUUUUUAGUUUUUUAUAGAGUUGUCUUUUUAUCUAUGUAGAUGACUUGUUUGUGCUACGAAUUUCGAAACCCAAUUGACCAAUUUUCUAGCUCCACCACUGGAUGUGGAGGAAUCUAGAAUCUUGUGAUGCGGCCAUUGAUUCUCAGAGCUGGGUUUUCUUUUGUGUGUUGAAUGCAG
Molecule: long non-coding RNA, 301 nt
Filed under: Linum usitatissimum (flax)
Lineage: Eukaryota; Viridiplantae; Streptophyta; Magnoliopsida; Malpighiales; Linaceae
Description: long non-coding RNA (LUSI_LNC000982)
Source: RNAcentral